RNAcentral lists this ribosomal RNA (253 nucleotides) under uncultured bacterium. Its description in RNAcentral is "partial 16S ribosomal RNA". It matches the Rfam family "Bacterial small subunit ribosomal RNA", at positions 524 to 776 of the family's 1533-position model. The record is from RNAcentral.
UACGUAGGGUGCGAGCGUUAAUCGGAAUUACUGGGCGUAAAGCGUGCGCAGGCGGCGCGUUAAGACAGGUGUGAAAGCCCCGAGCUUAACUUGGGAAUUGCGCUUGUGACUGGCGUGCUGGAGUGUGGCAGAGGGAGGUGGAAUUCCACGUGUAGCAGGGAAAUGCGUAGAGAUGUGGAGGAACACCGAUGGCGAAGGCAGCCUCCUGGGCCAGCACUGACGCUCAUGCACGAAAGCGUGGGGAGCAAGCAGG